Molecule: long non-coding RNA, 2485 nt
Organism: Mesocricetus auratus (golden hamster)
Lineage: Eukaryota; Metazoa; Chordata; Mammalia; Rodentia; Cricetidae
Exons: 5
Source: RefSeq, a predicted model, not a curated record
CCCCAAGUCCUUCAAGUGAAAAAAAAAAAAAGGUCACGACUUUCCAGUCUACCACGGCCGAAUUGAAAAAAAAAAAAAAAAGGCAAAUUUGAUGUUGGGGGGGGGAAACCCUUGUAACUAUGUUAAAAGUCUCUCUGGUUAUUUUCACUUUUUGUUUUGGUCAAGGAAGAAGCAGAUGACAGAGCCGUUUUUGAAAACCUUGUAGAUCGCCUUGUUGUUUUAAAAAAGGAUCAGAACUACAGCUGCAGGAGGAUCUCUGUGACUCCGGGUCAGCCUGAUCUACACAGUGAGAUUGUUUUAAAGAGAAUCCCCUUCCCUGUACACCACUGUCCAGUGAUGUACUCUCCUGCACUGGAGUGUCUUAAUUCAAUCCCUUGCCGAGGAGGUGGAAUGCCAUCUCAAAAGGAAAACAAACAACGCAACUGCCCAAGUUGCUGUUCACUUUUUGAAAAAGUCUAGUGUAGCAUGCCUGACCUUGAACCUGCAACUCUACCAAGUGAUGACGUCACAGGUAGUCAAGGUUGUGGCAAGUUGACGUUUAAAACCAACCAUCACACGAGGCACGUACUCUACCAACUGUGCGACACCCUGAGGCCCUGACUGAAUUUUGCAGGAGCCAAAUCAGCUGAACAUACCUCCCUUGUGACAGGCCAACUGCUGGAACCAACAGUCCCCACUGGCAGGGACAUAGCUAUCCCGGGUCAGGAAACCUCGCUUAACACAGCAAAAUGGGCUGAGACCAGCGACCGCAGGUCAGGAAGGACGUCUGAGGGCUGUCUGUGUACUGCUCCCUGCUGGGAACGCCUGCCCAGUUCACCUCGUGCCUGGCUUUCUGUAGGAAGUAUUUCUUAGCCAUAUAAGCCUGGCACAGUUCUAGGAAGCUUUAGCUGCUGACCAGAUGAAUUCAAGACAUUUAUGGCCAAACCUUUGUGCCCACUGAUGAGCUGUGCGACUGCUGUGGUCACGCAGUAUCAAGGUCGUCCAGCCCACAUUUCCCCACCACCCGCGAGCCCCUGAUGCUUGAGAACUGUUUACUCCUCCUGUGACCGGCUUCAGUAGCUAGAUAAGGCUGACUGACACGAGGCGGGCAGGAGAAGCCCGCCUGAGCCACUGGCCAUCCGCCACCCCUCUGCAGCACUACGCCCAGCCGCCCCCCUGCUCAGCCUUUGCCCUGCCUUAUCUGGCUGCUCUAACCUAGCACAGACUUUCCCGAAGAAUACAGCCUGCAGUCGUCACGCGCUCCUGGCGUCCAUCCAGCUCCUAGAGUCUGAAGACUCUGGGUUACCGUUCUGCACCAGACUCUACCUCAGCCGUGAAGCAGGGGCUAGACAUGCCCCUUACUGAGAACUGGGGUGGUGAGCAGCUGAUACUUUUUAGUGUUGUAUUAGUUACUUUUCUCUUUGCUGAGACAAAGUGUCUAACAAAGCCAACUUAGAGGAAGGGCUUAUUUGGGGUCACGGUUUUAGAGUACCAUCCCCACUCUUGGAGUAGGCAUGACAGCUAGGGCAGCCCGAGCUGUGGCAGCAGGAGCCCGGAUGGAACAACUGGCCACACUCUGUCCCCAGCCGAAAAGCUUCCAUGCAAAUACAAACCUCGGGUCUGGAGAGAAAGCUCAGUGAUUCCCAGCAUCCAUAUUGGGCAGCUCACAACUGCCUGUAAGUCCAAUCCUCCAGGAUAUCCUAUAGCUCUGCCCUGCAAGGACACACACACACACACACACACACACACACACACACACACACACAUACACACGAUAUCCAAACACCAGUGGGGUAUGUUCCAUCUGCAGAAAAUAUUUGGAUAACCUGUUAUCAUAUUAAUCAUCACAUUUAAGCCUUCUCGAUGACACCAAUGACACCAACCAGACUGGCAACGUGUGCACAUGACUUGACACAUCUAUUCACAAUGCACAGUUAGAUGUCACAAUAUCUGCUGACAUCCUGCACCUGUCCAGACGAAAGGGAGUCAUGUCGAAACAGUACAGCUCUGCUAGUGGGGGAAUUAGCUUAGAUUUGUUCAUAUUUGUUUCUUUAAGAGACAGGACCACAAUUACACAAGAUGAUCUGAAACCUACCAGCCUAGCCUUGAACUCAGACACUAUCCUGCCUCGGAUUAUAGGCGUGUGCCCCAGACCUGGCCUCAUUUGUUUAAUUUUGGCAUUUUAAAUGCAAGUUCACUCCUGUAGUGGCACUACAUACCUUUAAAGUGUCCCCGUUUCUGACGCAACUUCCCUCGAAGCACGCUUGCUCACCUGAUGGCUUAGUCUGACUCCUGCUGCCGUCAUAAAACAUUCUGGCCCCAAGCAACCGGGAGGGAGAGUUUGUUUAGCACACUCCCAUGCCACAGUCUUUCCUGGAGGGAAGUCCGGGCAGGAACCUGGAGGAGGAAACUGAGGCAGAGAGGCUAGCUGCUUGCUGGCUUGCUCCUCAUGGCUUGUUCAUCCUGUUUUCUUAUACCACCAUUGCCCAGCGGUGGCACCAACUGU